AAUUGACCUCGGAUCAGGUAGGGAUACCCGCUGAACUUAAGCAUAUCAAUAAGCGGAGGAA
This 61-nucleotide ribosomal RNA is filed under the name Neoroussoella heveae. RNAcentral's name for it is "partial 28S ribosomal RNA". It matches the Rfam family "Eukaryotic large subunit ribosomal RNA", at positions 1 to 58 of the family's 3401-position model. The record is from RNAcentral. Lineage: Eukaryota; Fungi; Ascomycota; Dothideomycetes; Pleosporales; Thyridariaceae.